RNAcentral lists this ribosomal RNA (253 nucleotides) under uncultured bacterium. RNAcentral's name for it is "partial 16S ribosomal RNA". It matches the Rfam family "Bacterial small subunit ribosomal RNA", at positions 524 to 776 of the family's 1533-position model. The record is from RNAcentral.
UACGUAGGGACCGAGCGUUGUCCGGAAUCAUUGGGCGUAAAGAGCGUGUAGGCGGCUUGCUAAGUCUUGCGUGAAAUCUCGGGGCUCAACCCCGAGCGGUCGUGGGAAACUGCAGGGCUGGAGUCCGGGAGAGGAGGGUGGAAUUCCCAGUGUAGCGGUGAAAUGCGUAGAUAUUGGGAGGAACACCGGUGGCGAAGGCGGCCCUCUGGACCGGUACUGACGCUGAUGCGCGAAAGCGUGGGGAGCAAACGGG